This 492-nucleotide ribosomal RNA is filed under the name uncultured bacterium. RNAcentral describes it as "partial 16S ribosomal RNA". It matches the Rfam family "Bacterial small subunit ribosomal RNA", at positions 29 to 507 of the family's 1533-position model. The record is from RNAcentral.
AGUGAACGCUGGCGGUAGGCCUAACACAUGCAAGUCGAACGGCAGCACAGUAAGAGCUUGCUCUUACGGGUGGCGAGUGGCGGACGGGUGAGGAAUACAUCGGAAUCUACUUUUUCGUGGGGGGUAACGUAGGGAAACUUACGCUAAUACCGCAUACGACCUACGGGUGAAAGCAGGGGAUCUUCGGACCUUGCGCGAUUGAAUGAGCCGAUGUCGGAUUAGCUAGUUGGUGGGGUAAAGGCCCACCAAGGCGACGAUCCGUAGCUGGUCUGAGAGGAUGAUCAGCCACACUGGAACUGAGACACGGUCCAGACUCCUACGGGAGGCAGCAGUGGGGAAUAUUGGACAAAGGGUGCAAGCCUGAUCCAGCCAUACCGCGUGGGUGAAGAAGGCCUUCGGGUUGUAAAGCCCUUUUGUUGGGAAAGAAAAGCAGCAGGUUAAUACCCCGCUGUUCUGACGGUACCCAAAGAAUAAGCACCGGCUAACUUCGUG